RNAcentral lists this long non-coding RNA (1685 nucleotides) under Olea europaea subsp. europaea. The record is from RNAcentral. Lineage: Eukaryota; Viridiplantae; Streptophyta; Magnoliopsida; Lamiales; Oleaceae.
CCAACCGUGACCUGUAAAUGCCAGUGAAGACCGCUGUACGGCAAGUGCUUCCCAUUACGUUUUGUCCGUGACCUCUACGUAUUCUCAUUUCAUUUCCUUCCUAAAUCAAAUCUUGUAGAUUCCAAUUAUUGCCGCAAUACGUAUUCGGAUCGCUCAAUUCUCAAAUUAAGGAUUCAAAAUCAAAAUCACGAAUCGUAUAAUUAGAAACGAAAUUGCAGAUCGGGGCCUCCAACUCGUAAACUCUGACGGCGAGGCGCUCAGGUACGUAUGUGAUUUAGGUAUCUGAUUAUAUUUAUGUACAUAAAUUUUUGAUUUGUAAUUCUGGGAUUUUCUUUUAUCUACCCAUUCAUGCAUCUAUUGUUGAAUUAUUUCAAGAUUUCCACUGGGGUUGAGUUUUUACGAUAUAUGUUUGUGAUUUUCUGUUUGCAUUUCUUAUUGAAGGGAUUUUGUUGGGCCUUUUCUUUUCUUUUCUUUUUACAGGAAAUGUGAAUGAGAAUUAGCGAGUGGCGUCUGCUCACUGCUGAUUCUACAGGUAUAAUUUGUCUGUGUGUGAAAGAAUGACCUAAACUCCACGUUGUAUUUUUUGUGUGGAAUAUUCAUAAUCGGAAUUGAUUCCCACAGAAAUAUUUUGAUUUUCUUGUCUGAAUUUCUCCUUUUUUCUUAGAAUUACAUUUUCCAAAUGUACGGUUUUAAUCUUCUUUUUACAGUAAAAUCUGUAGGAAAAAUAAAUUCGAAAUUGGUAUGAUUGGUGCGUCUAUGGAUUUAACGAUUUAAACUUGCAUUUGGUAUGUAGUAGACCAUAUAAAGAACUUAGUACAAAAUUAGCUCUAAGAGACUCCAUUUUGGAUAGUUCAAUUCUCAAAUUAAGGAUUAAAAAUCAAAAGCACCAAUCGUAUAAGUAGAAACCCAAAUCCAAUUGCAGAUCGUGGCCUCCGACGCAUAAGCUCUUACAGCGAGGUGCUCAAGUACUUAUGUGAUUAGGUAUCUGAUUAUAUUUAUGUACAUAAUUUUUUGAUUUAUAAAUAUUACAUUCAUAUAUAUAUAUAUAUAUAUAUAUAUAUAUAUAAUUCACAUUAUUGGAAAUUUGGAAUACAAUGAUGUGUCUUGUUUGGAUUAUAUGUAAUUUAUGGGAAUUGUGUGGAUUUUAAUUUAGAAUUGGGUUGAUUAGAAAAUCGCUUCGCUGAAUUUGUCGUGUUUUGUUUCGAACAGAAUGUGUGAUUGAAGUGUUAAGAGUUUUAAUAAGCUUAUGCUUGUAUAAUUGAUUCUCUCGAAGUUAUAUAAAUUGGAUUUCAAAUUUUCCUUGUCCCUAGUGAACACUGGGGAACACUGAAGCAUAACAUAGAAUGAAUGUUUUGUGUUUUUUGAAAAUUGAUUUGCAUGACUUUUUCUGACUAGUUUACACAGAUUUCGUGCAUUAUCCAGUUUAUCUGGGUGCAUUGCACACUGUCCAAUUCGAAUGUGUUUUGAUGCUGGGAUGCACUGUGCAUGAUGAAAGUACAGAUCACCCAAGUUACUGCCUUUGUGAUUACUGAUUUGAUUUGGUGUACAUCCCCUAUCCCGACCCUAAACCUUAGCUUGAGGUACUGGUCCAUUUGUUCUAACUGCCUGUUACUGGCAUAGGUGAGGCAGAUUGUGGUCAGAAAUUUCUGCUAGCUGUAUAUGCAAUGGAAGCAAUUGAUUUUUGC